GCUGAAAGGCAGGAGUGCCCGCAAGGGAGCGCGGAGACAGGUGGUGCAUGGCUGUCGUCAGCUCGUGUCGUGAGAUGUUGGGUUAAGUCCCGCAACGAGCGCAACCCUCACCCCUUGUUGCCACCAGGUAACGCUGGGCACUCUAGGGGAACUGCCCCGGUCAACGGGGAGGAAGGCGGGGAUGACGUCAAGUCAUGAUGCCCCUUACGUCCUGGGCUACACACGUGCUACAAUGGCCGGUACAAAGGGAUGCGACACCGCGAGGUAGAGCUAAACCCAAAAAGCCGGUCUAAGUUCAGAUUGGAGUCUGCAACUUGACUCCAUGAAGGAGGAAUCGCUAGUAAUCGCGUAUCAGCACGACGCGGUGAAUACGUUCCCGGGCCUUGUACACACCGCCCGUCACACCACGAAAGCCAG
Molecule: ribosomal RNA, 417 nt
Filed under: NC10 bacterium enrichment culture clone inoc SFBR 9
Lineage: Bacteria; Methylomirabilota (SeqCode)
Description: bacterial SSU rRNA
Rfam family: Bacterial small subunit ribosomal RNA
Source: RNAcentral